This 75-nucleotide small RNA is filed under the name human gammaherpesvirus 4 (Epstein-Barr virus). Lineage: Duplodnaviria; Heunggongvirae; Peploviricota; Herviviricetes; Herpesvirales; Orthoherpesviridae. The record is from RNAcentral.
CACCNUCCUCACCACCCGGGACUUGUACCCGGGACGGGUGGCUACAGCCACACACGUCUCCUCCCUAGCAAAACA